UACGUAGGGGGCUAGCGUUGUCCGGAUUUAUUGGGCGUAAAGAGCGUGUAGGCGGCCAGGUAGGUCUGCUGUGAAAACUCGAGGCUUAACCUCGAGAUGUCGGCGGAAACCAUCUGGCUAGAGUCCGGAAGAGGAGAGUGGAAUUCCAGGUGUAGCGGUGAAAUGCGUAGAUAUCUGGAGGAACACCGGUGGCGAAGGCGGCAUCCUGGACCGACACUGACGCUGAGGAGCGAAAGCCAGGGGAGCAAACGGG
This 253-nucleotide ribosomal RNA is filed under the name uncultured bacterium. Its description in RNAcentral is "partial 16S ribosomal RNA". It matches the Rfam family "Bacterial small subunit ribosomal RNA", at positions 524 to 776 of the family's 1533-position model. The record is from RNAcentral.